This 500-nucleotide ribosomal RNA is filed under the name uncultured Pseudomonas sp. RNAcentral's name for it is "bacterial SSU rRNA". It matches the Rfam family "Bacterial small subunit ribosomal RNA", at positions 52 to 547 of the family's 1533-position model. Lineage: Bacteria; Pseudomonadati; Pseudomonadota; Gammaproteobacteria; Pseudomonadales; Pseudomonadaceae. The record is from RNAcentral.
CACAUGCAAGUCGAGCGGAUGAAGGGAGCUUGCUCCUGGAUUCAGCGGCGGACGGGUGAGUAAUGCCUAGGAAUCUGCCUGGUAGUGGGGGAUAACGUCCGGAAACGGGCGCUAAUACCGCAUACGUCCUGAGGGAGAAAGUGGGGGAUCUUCGGACCUCACGCUAUCAGAUGAGCCUAGGUCGGAUUAGCUAGUUGGUGGGGUAAAGGCCUACCAAGGCGACGAUCCGUAACUGGUCUGAGAGGAUGAUCAGUCACACUGGAACUGAGACACGGUCCAGACUCCUACGGGAGGCAGCAGUGGGGAAUAUUGGACAAUGGGCGAAAGCCUGAUCCAGCCAUGCCGCGUGUGUGAAGAAGGUCUUCGGAUUGUAAAGCACUUUAAGUUGGGAGGAAGGGCAGUAAGUUAAUACCUUGCUGUUUUGACGUUACCAACAGAAUAAGCACCGGCUAACUUCGUGCCAGCAGCCGCGGUAAUACGAAGGGUGCAAGCGUUAAUCG